RNAcentral lists this ribosomal RNA (1353 nucleotides) under uncultured bacterium. Its description in RNAcentral is "bacterial SSU rRNA". It matches the Rfam family "Bacterial small subunit ribosomal RNA", at positions 28 to 1393 of the family's 1533-position model. The record is from RNAcentral.
GACGAACGCUGGUGGCGUGCUUAACACAUGCAAGUCGAACGGUGAAGCCCAGCUUGCUGGGUGGAUCAGUGGCGAACGGGUGAGUAACACGUGAGCAACCUGCCCUCCACUUCGGGAUAAGCCUUGGAAACGGGGUCUAAUACCGGAUAUGAGCGCCUGCCGCAUGGUGGGUGUUGGAAAGUUUUUCGGUGGGGGAUGGGCUCGCGGCCUAUCAGCUUGUUGGUGGGGUAAUGGCCUACCAAGGCGUCGACGGGUAGCCGGCCUGAGAGGGCGACCGGCCACACUGGGACUGAGACACGGCCCAGACUCCUACGGGAGGCAGCAGUGGGGAAUAUUGCACAAUGGGCGAAAGCCUGAUGCAGCGACGCCACGUGAGGGAUGACGGCCUUCGGGUUGUAAACCUCUUUCAGCAGGGAAGAAGCGCAAGUGACGGUACCUGCAGAAGAAGCGCCGGCUAACUACGUGCCAGCAGCCGCGGUAAUACGUAGGGCGCAAGCGUUGUCCGGAAUUAUUGGGCGUAAAGAGCUCGUAGGCGGUCUGUCGCGUCUGGUGUGAAAUCCCAUGGCUCAACUGUGGGCUUGCAUCGGGUACGGGCAGACUAGAGUGCUGUAGGGGAGACUGGAAUUCCUGGUGUAGCGGUGGAAUGCGCAGAUAUCAGGAGGAACACCGAUGGCGAAGGCAGGUCUCUGGGCAGUUACUGACGCUGAGGAGCGAAAGCAUGGGGAGCGAACAGGAUUAGAUACCCUGGUAGUCCAUGCCGUAAACGUUGGGCACUAGGUGUGGGGCCAGUUCCACUGGUUCUGUGCCGCAGCUAACGCAUUAAGUGCCCCGCCUGGGGAGUACGGCCGCAAGGCUAAAACUCAAAGGAAUUGACGGGGGCCCGCACAAGCGGCGGAGCAUGCGGAUUAAUUCGAUGCAACGCGAAGAACCUUACCAAGGCUUGACAUGUACGAGAAAGCCCCAGAGAUGGGGUUCUCUUUGGACACUCGUACACAGGUGGUGCAUGGUUGUCGUCAGCUCGUGUCGUGAGAUGUUGGGUUAAGUCCCGCAACGAGCGCAACCCUUAUCCUAUGUUGCCAGCGGGUUAUGCCGGGGACUCAUGGGAGACUGCCGGGGUCAACUCGGAGGAAGGUGGGGAUGACGUCAAAUCAUCAUGCCCCUUAUGUCUUGGGCUUCACGCAUGCUACAAUGGCCGGUACAGAGGGCUGCGAUACCGUGAGGUGGAGCGAAUCCCAAAAAGCCGGUCUCAGUUCGGAUCGGGGUCUGCAACUCGACCUCGUGAAGUCGGAGUCGCUAGUAAUCGCAGAUCAGCAACGCUGCGGUGAAUACGUUCCCGGGCCUUGCACACACCGC